Molecule: long non-coding RNA, 495 nt
Organism: Olea europaea var. sylvestris
Lineage: Eukaryota; Viridiplantae; Streptophyta; Magnoliopsida; Lamiales; Oleaceae
Exons: 3
Source: RefSeq, a predicted model, not a curated record
UUUUUCUUUUUUCUUUUUCCCAGAAAAAUGGGCCUCAAAACAGAGCCUAUGAAUCAUACAUCUUUCCUGAAAAAUCGUUAGAGUUCUUGAGCAAGCCUUUUAAUUCAGAAGAAAAGAGGCAACAGGAAAUGCAACCAGCCUCCCGAAGUAUGGAAUGGCGGCGUUGGGUUUGUGUCCAAGGAAAUGAUUCAGACUCACUGCCCUGCGCCAGCACCUGAUAUUCAGAUACUGAGAUGUGGCCCUCCUCCAAUGAACAAGGCUAUGGCUGCUCAUCUCGAAGCUCUUGGAUAUGCGCCGGGGAUGCAAUUCCAAUUUUAGUGUAGCAUGAGGCCUCGACCCUUUUAGACGUGAUUUUCUUACAUUCUUGGGGAAAAUGUGUAGUAUUUUGAUUUGCAUAAUGUGGAGGCAAAUUUCAAUAGAUUUCUCUUCAAAAAAUUGUAACUUCUUAAAAUUCUCCACAUGGUUUUAUCUAUGAUAAUUUUAUGAUUCUCGAUA